RNAcentral lists this ribosomal RNA (1447 nucleotides) under uncultured organism. RNAcentral describes it as "bacterial SSU rRNA". It matches the Rfam family "Bacterial small subunit ribosomal RNA". The record is from RNAcentral.
GCGGCGUGCUUAACACAUGCAAGUCGAACGGUCCGCCCCGACAGAUACCUUCGGGUUGAAGACGGGAUUCGGAAAGUGGCGGACGGGUGAGUAACGCGUGGAGAACCUGUGCUUAAAUCAAGGAUAACCUGAUGAAAGUCGGGCUAAUCCGUGAUAAGCUAACAGAUAAGCAUUUAUCAGUUAGUAAAGGUGGUAAUGCCAUCGUUUAAGGAGGGCUCCGCGUCGGAUUAGCUAGCUGGUGAGGUAACGGCUCACCAGGGCUACGAUCCGUAGCUGGUCUGAGAGGACGAUCAGCCACACUGGGACUGAGACACGGCCCAGACUCCUACGGGAGGCAGCAGUGGGGAAUCUUCCGCAAUGGGCGCAAGCCUGACGGAGCAACGCCGCGUGAGUGAAGAAGGCCUUAGGGUUGUAAAGCUCUGUCCUUAGGGACGAACCAUCCUGUUAGAAACUGAACAGGGUCUGACGGUACCUUUGGAGGAAGCCCUGGCUAACUACGUGCCAGCAGCCGCGGUAAUACGUAGAGGGCAAGCGUUGUCCGGAAUCAUUGGGCGUAAAGGGUACGCAGGCGGAUAUGCAAGUCAACUGUGAAAGGUGCCGGCCUAACCGGCAGAGUGCAGUUGAAACUGUAUAUCUUGAGUGCAGCAGAGGAGAUCGGAAUUCCUGGAGUAGCGGUGAAAUGCGUAGAUAUCAGGAAGAACACCAGUGGCGAAAGCGGAUCUCUGGGCUGUGACUGACGCUGAGGUACGAAAGCUGGGGGAGCGAACGGGAUUAGAUACCCCGGUAGUCCCAGCCGUAAACGAUGGACACUAGGUGUUGGUGGUUCGAUUCCAUCAGUGCCGGAGUUAACGCAUUAAGUGUCCCGCCUGGGGAUUACGGUCGCAAGACUGAAACUCAAAGGAAUUGACGGGGGCCCGCACAAGCGGUGGAGCAUGUGGUUUAAUUCGAUGCAACGCGAAGAACCUUACCGAGACUUGACAUCCCGUGUCAGCAUGUGAGAGCAUGUUUUAGGACUAUGUCCUACACGGAGACAGGUGGUGCAUGGCUGUCGUCAGCUCGUGUCGUGAGAUGUUGGGUUAAGUCCCGCAACGAGCGCAACCCUUAUACCUAGUUGCCAGCAAGUGAUGUUGGGGACUCUAGGUAGACUGCCGGUGAAAGUCGGAGGAAGGUGGGGAUGACGUCAAGUCCUCAUGCCCUUUAUGUCUCGGGCUACACACGUGCUACAAUGGCUGGAACAGAGGGAAGCGAAGCCGCGAGGUAUAGCCAAUCUCGAAAGCCGGUCUCAGUUCGGAUUGCAGGCUGCAACUCGCCUGCAUGAAGUCGGAAUCGCUAGUAAUCGCAGCUCAGCAUACUGCGGUGAUACGUUCCCGGGCCUUGUACACACCGCCCGUCACACCAACCGAGUUGGAUGCACCAGAAGUCACCUGAGGGUGCCAAAGGUGUGCCC